Molecule: long non-coding RNA, 33620 nt
Filed under: Sorghum bicolor (sorghum)
Lineage: Eukaryota; Viridiplantae; Streptophyta; Magnoliopsida; Poales; Poaceae
Description: long non-coding RNA (SBIC_LNC005787)
Source: RNAcentral
CCGGCGGCUUCAGGUAUUUUUUUUUCUUUUCCUAGUACGAUAAUUGUUUAGAUAAUGUAGUUAGUUUUCUAAGUUGUAUAAUUUUUGAAAUAAUUCAUGUAGUAAUUUUCUAUAUUGGUAUUAUUUAUAUGAAUAUUGUUAUGUAAUUUAGAGUUGUUUAUUUAAUUUAGAGUAGUUUAUUUAAUAUUUCUAGCAUUUAGUUAUGUAAUUUAGUUAGAUAAAUCUAGUUUGUAAUUUUAGUUAUAUAGUUAGGUACAUACGUAUUUUCUUAGAUAGAUAUUUAUGUGUUUUAUUUGUAUUAGUUAUAUGCCUAGUAACAUGGUUGUUUUGUAUAUCAAUUAGAUGGACAAUUUAGUAACCUUAUAUCAUGGAGGAAGUGUGGAGAAAGAUCAGUUUGGCAAUGUUGAUUUUGUUGGAAUGGAAACGGUCCCUUUGAUGUUUGAUGAGCGGCCCUUGUUUUCUGAAUUGAUGGGUAGUGCUCGUGAUGAGCUUAAAUGUAAUUCGAAUGAAGAAGAAAUCUUAGUUGAGGGGGUCAUUCACCAUGGCGGGUCAGGGACAAUUUUUAGGCGGUUAGUCCCAAUUGUAUCCGAGGUUCAAUGGGACAAAUAUGUCAAAACUGUCAUGAAGAGUGAGUUUAAAUGUUUGGAUUUGGUUGUGCGCAACUUGUCCAAGGAGCCAGGCCCUCUAGUGGAUUCUCCUCUUAAUUGGCAACCACCCAUUGGCCCUCUAGUGGACAAUCCGGCACCCUCAGCUUCUCUGAUACCCAUUCAGGACGUGGGUGUGGAAGAUGUGGUUGUCGUUCCUGAUGCUCAAUCCGGUCCCAAUGAGGUUGGCUGCGUACAUACCCCUAUGACCUAGACAAUUCCAUGUAAGUGGCGUAGUUGCAUUAUUCAUUUUGUUAGCAUUCCUUCGUUCGAUUUAGUUGUCUCAAUUGUAUCCAUAUUUGUGGUUUUGUUGUAGGUGACAAUCCAAGUAAUGAUCGUUGUCAUCCUGUGCCUCCAACAUUUAAUGUUGACGCAGCUUUUAUAGCAUCUAAUAGUUUGGAUGUUAAUAUUGAGGAUGAUGAGCCCUAUGUCACAGCUAGAGCUGUUGAUUCCGAUGAUGACCGGCCAGUUGCACCUUUAAGUGAACAAGAAAUGGAGCUUAUCAGACGUUUUUGUCCUGAUCGUGAUCCACUAGUUCACGAGUUUAGUGACCUCAGUCAUUCUCAAAAUGCUUAUGCAGAGGGAAGAGAUGAUGAGCUGCUGGAGGCUCCUGAGCCUGGUGACAGUGUGCAAAUUCAGAAGGGCAUGAUCUUUAAUGAUUUGCCCAGCUUAAGAAGGUGGUUACAACAAUAUUCUGUAAUACGUAAAAGACCCUUCAAGGUGAUGCACUCCCAUGUUGAGCGCCGCUACACGGUUGUGUGUGAGAUGUCAGAUUGCAACUGGAGGGUCUGUGCUCGUAAACAAAAGGCCACCGGGAAGUUUAAGAUCACAAAAAUUGUAGGUCCACACACUUGUGCCCAGACUGACCUUCAACAGAAGCAUCGACAGUUGACCUCUACACUUAUUGCUAGUACGUUAUGCACAACUUUAAAGGGUCAGCCCAACUUGAAGGUCAGAACAAUUAUGGACAUGGCUCAGAAGAUAUUUAAAUAUGACAUAAAGUAUGGCAAAGCAUGGAGGGCAAAGCAAAGGGCCUGGAAGAUGAUAUAUGGAGACUGGGAGGAGGGGUACGAGCAACUGCCAGCAAUGUUCAAUGCAAUGAAAGCAGCUAAUCCAGGCAUGCAUUACGAGUACAUUCCGAAGCCUAAUGAAUGGAGGAAUGGGAGGCAGAUAUUCUUUCGUGCAUUCUGGUGUUUUCCACAGUGUGUCCAGGCCUUUAGGCACUGCCGUCCAGUGUUAUCAAUUGAUGGUACUUUUCUGCUUGGCAAGUAUAUGGGCACUCUUUUGGUAGCCAUUUUCUGUGACGCUGACAACGCAUUGGUUCCUUUGGCUUUUGCUUUGGUGGAGAGAGAGAACAAAGACAGCUGGGGUUGGUUCAUCCAUCGCUGCCUUCGCUCGGCGCACACGCUCAAGCUUCUUUUCCCUCUCCUCCCGAGCCGCAGCAACACGUCUUCUUUCCUCCUCUUCCUUGUGCUCCCUCUUUUGAGCCUCCUCUCUACGUCUCUUCUCUAAUAUCUCUGCACGCUCUGCAUCCCACUCCUUUAGGCCUUGUAGAAGCCGCUUGUCGGACUCCUUAAUCUCAGUGUCAAUCCACUGCUCAAAAUCACACAAUGGUGGAGGGGUCUGCAACAAAUAUAUUUGUUCAAAAAAUUAAAUCAUGCUUCAUAGGACACAAAAUACUAAGUGCACAAUAGAAAAAUUAACUUACAAUAAAGUUACUGCGGCGUUGUUUUGGCAUAGGCUCCCAGGCAAAAUUGGAACACAUCCAAUACCUCUGCCGAUAGGUUUCCUCGUCUUCCGAAAUUUCUACCUUGCAAGGAUCACCACAAAAGCACAUAGGUACUGGAACACCGCUAGGAAGCGGCUUGUGAAUGUACGGACUCCCGGUCGUCCGGCCAUAGCUACAGUUCAAAUAAUUCAAUUCUAAGAAAUCAUAGCAAAUAAUGAUUCAACCGAAAACUAGAAUUUACAAAAAGAUAAAUAAUAAUGAGAGGAAUUUAUCGAAACAUGUCGAAAGGUUACCUUGGUUUGCUACUUUUUACACGACGUGGCAUUCUACGAUUGUAUAAUAAAAAUAUUAAUCAUCCAUUCAAAAAUAUAGAAAUGGUAUAUCUAAGUUUACAACAUACGUGUAAUAUAAGUCCAAUCAAUGUGUCAAAAACUAAUAUGUGAAAGAGUAUACCUGGCUCUUCAAGAUCUAUGGAACAAAUCAAACUUUUGAUGGUCACAAUAUUGAAUCCAAAUUCGUGCUCGGUUUUUGGAGAGAAAGAGCCAAGAGGGGAGAUGAAAAUACGAACACUGCGUCCACGGUUUCGAAGGUCGUCGGGUGGUAUGUAGUAGGGAGCUCGGCGCCGUGAUCUGUGGCGCCGAGCUCCCUGCCACGUCAGAUCCACGUCAGAAGCCCGGGCCAGGACCUAGACGUGAUACCUCGACGCCAUGAAUCAUGGCGUCGACCCCCUGGGUUCAUUUCUGCAUUUAAGUUUUCCAGGGGUCCAAUUGUAAACUUUUUUCAAAAAAAGGGUCAAAUUGUAAAAAAUUGGGGCAGAGCUGCAGAGGCUAUAGUGAAGUUCUAUUUUUAAUGUGUAAACUACAAAGCAGCUAAUGUCAUGUUUGGAUCUCCUAAGAAAAAUAAGAAUAAGAUGAAAAAAUAGAAUGACAUACAAACACUCCGAUUCUAAAGUCCGAGUGUUAAAACUACAUUAGCUGACAUUAGCUGACGUGUUAAAACUGCUCCGAGCAAACGCCAAGUGCAAUCAAACCAGGAGGAAUUAUUGUGAUUGUGGGGUUGUGGUUGUUCUCGUUUUGAUAGUUAGAAAGUCUCCGUUAUCUCAUUCUAUAUUAGGGAUGGAAAUCGAAUGAACAUGAUCGUCGAAGAUUAAAAAAAAAUGGACUUUACCCAUAUAGGUUUGACGUUUGAUCAUGGACUCACGAAUUGGUAGUCUAAUAUUGUGAAUAAUGUGCAUAGUUGUAAUUCUAGAUAUUAAUAAAAUGUUAUUAAAAUGACGCUUAAAAUAAAAUGUUAUUGAAAUAAUUUUGAUAGUAACAAUAAAGCUGUGUCUACUAAAAAUGAGCGGAAGCGUACUUAGUUACUUAAAGCAUAGACCGUCAUUGCGUGAAUAUUCAGCUUAGGAUGGAGUCUCUGACACUAAUUUCGGUUCGUUUCUAGGUAUAGGCUCGUAGACUACAGAAUUGUAUCUGAUCCAUACAAAUGGAAAAGUUCUCACCCUUUUAUUCAGCCGUGUGAUAUGAUACAUUGUACAUGUGACCAACAAUGAAAUCCGAAGGACUAGCAACAACAACACAAAGUACAAUAAAUCGCAUAAAUAUGAUGAAAGAUCUGCUAACAGCAAGUAUAUGUGUAUGCACAGACAGGCUCAUCCUGCAUAUGUCUAAUUAUCACACGUGGCUCUUGAUGGCGUCACUGUAGCCUGCGCGGUCGUCGUAGUACUUGGACCAGAGCAUGACGCCGCCGUACUUGGACGAUCCCCUGAUGAGCGGCAGCACGUUGGAGUUGAGAUCGUCGGCGGGCACGAACCCGGUGCCGGCGGCGUCCUUGGAGGCGGGCAGGCCUAGGAAGAUCUUCCCCGCCGGAACCGACUCCCACUGUUUCCACGCGUCCAGGAACGCGCCGCGGCCCGCGUUCACCUGGCACGGUGGGUUGUUGUAGAACUGCACCCACACGUAGUCGAACAGCCCCGUGUCGAUCGCGCCGUUGUCCCACUCGUCCGGGAACGGGCACUGCGGCGCCGCGCUCAGGAGCACCCCCUUGCCGCCCACCUUGUUCUUGCCCAUGUUCUUGAGGUCCCUGCACGGCGUGCGGCCGGGUGUGUAGAGGCGGUGAGCAAACGCCGAGUUAACCAACACACGACGAGAAGCAGGCUGCGAGAGUUUACCUGGCCAAGCUGUCCCAGUACUUGGAGCCGCCGAGCUCGAUGUCGAAGUCAAUGCCGUCAAGGACGGCGUCGCCGAGGGGGCGCGACGACGACGAGCCGCCCAGGUAAUUGUUCCAGAGGUAGGCGGCCACGUCCCGCGCGUCUCCCUGGGACGACAGGCCGUAGCUGCCGUCACCGCCGCCGAUCGAGAGCAGGACCUUGACGCCGCUGCUCUGGCACGAACGUAUGUCGUCACUCAACCCCGUGCAGCCGCCCGAUGAGGGGUCGCAGUGGCUGGCGAGGUCCAGCUCCGGCGUCUGGCCCUUGCCGAACUUGUAGACGAAGGCGAGGAUGACGAACUUGUAGUUCCCUGACGCACACGUGUCGGAAAGGGACGCCUCGCCGUCGUUCUGGCCCCAGUAGACGGCGAUGCCACCGGCAUGGCAUGUGGCGAGGAGAGCCGCCAAGAGGGUGGCCACGAGCAGGGAUGGAGCUUGAGCUCGGUUCGCCAUGGCUUGAUCUAGCGUGCUCGAUCAACUUAUUGGAUAGUAACUUUAGGAACUUGUUCUACGAGUAUUGAGUAGAGAGAUGGGGAUGGCGAAGUGUGCAUAUUCAUGUGUCCUUUUAUAACGUCUUGACAGUGUUAGCAUUAGCAAUAUGAACGCCGUGGAGAAAAGUUUAAGUAGGCUUCGUGCCGUGGUUCGUCUGCUGUUCUGUUUUAAUUUUUACCACGUACGAGUGGUUGCGGACUUGCGGUUCUGUGUGAAUUUAAUUUACCACGAGUGGUUGCGGUUAAGUAAAGUUGGAUUAUUUAUUUGUGGCCGGUAAUCCCGAUAUGCUGUUUUAUCAGGGAGUGUUUAUCUUCCCCUGAUGAUGAAUAAUGAAGGGAAACCAUCGAAGCUGAGUUCAAACGUGAGACUCGCCACCGUGCUCAACUCAACCGCAACGUCACAUGCGACAAAAUUUGCACCUUCCAGAUGCAUAGUACAUGAUUUGCAUUCUUUUGCUCAUGAUGUUAUUAUAUAUUUGUGGGCCAGGGUUUAAAAUCUUAUGAAAAAUUUGCCGAAAUUUUACAAACUUGAGUAAUUUUGGAGGUGGCUGACCCCUCUCCCCCCACCCCACCAGGGUUUAAACGCACUGAUUUUGUCUGUCUUCUUCUAACUACCGAACAAUUAAGAGUUUCUUUUAUGUGGACUUAUAUAUAUAUAUAUAACUCGUGCCCAUACGAGUUAGAAUAAUUUAUGACUAAACCAAUAUGGAGUAUGUAGGAGUCCUAAUAUAAAUAGAUUUCUCACAUCCUAAGUAUACUAAAUAGAACUCUUAAUAGUCAAAUAGAAAAGGAUAAGAAUUAUGUUCUUUAUUUUGCUCCGCUUUCUUUAUUUAGUUAGAUGUCAACUAGAUAUACCGUUCCUUCUUCUUCUUCUUCUCUAAUAAUAAUAACGAAAAAUUUCUGGUCGUUUUGGAUUUUGAUCGAGCCCAACUAUUCGCUUAUUUCGGUUUAAAAUUAGUUUAAACUUAUGUUAGGCUUCCGAGUUAGAUUCAGCCCGUAGCUUUCUUUUUGUCCCAUAAUCCAAUUGGACAAGGAGUCCUCGUGGCAUAAACAAAAAAUAAGCUAAAAAUAAUAGGAAACCGCCCGAACAAAAGGAGCAUUGUUUAAUUAAUCUUUAGACCGGUGGAUAUAUAAAGAUAUGAUGGACUGAAAUUUUUACAAUUAUAUAUUAGGGAAAGAUACAUGGCUAUGUAACGCUAUAGUCAUAUUUUCUAUUGUUUAUGUUGCAUGUUCUUUUGUUCAAAAUAUGUGGUCAUAAAUCAUGCUAAUAUUUUGUUCAAAUCUAUUUUUUAAUAAAAACAAUCAUAAUUCAUGUUUAAAUCUCUAAUUUUUUUUGGCAAAACUGAUGUUGAAUCUCACAAAUUUUAGUAUUUUUUGGUGUAGCCGAAAUAAUGUACUCCGUAUUACCGAUCACAGGAAGCAUGAAGCGGAAAGGAGCAAAUUUGUCGCAUGUGGCGUUGUGGUUUACUCCGUAGUUGAGUACGGAGUGUAUGACGUUUCAACUCAGGCACUCAGCUUCAAUGAUUUCCACCCUUCAUGUUUACCAUAGGAAGGCAAAGGGAUGUUUGAUUAGAGUUGUUAAUAAAGUUUAAUAAAUACUAUAAUAUUUUUAUUUUGUUUAGCAUCAAUUAAUGUCCAAUCAUAAAUUAAUUAUGCUUAAAUGAUUUGUAUCGCAAAUACUCUCUAGCUGUGUUUUUAGUUUCAAUGAUCUAUUUUUAGUAUAUAUUCAAAUCAAAUAUUUAAUAUGACAGAUAAUAAACUUUACCACACUCAACCAAACAGACCCUAAACUGCAUAUGUGAUUAUUACUGUACGUAAAUAAAUAAAACUUUACUUAACAGCAAUGACUUCAAGGUAAAUUCACACACAAGCGCAGAGGCUGAGGAACAACGGCACGAAACCUAGCUACUUAAUUAAAGUUCUCGCCAUGGCGUUCAUAUUGCUAACGCAAACCGCUAUAAAACGAGACAUGGAUAUCAGAAUUCAGAAUAUGCACCUUCACCAUCCCAUCUCUCUACUCAAUACUCAUAGAACAAGUGAACAACUACCUAAAGUUCCUAUCCAGUUGGGGGCGCACGAUCAAGCCAUGGCGAACCGAGCUCAAGCUCCAUCCCUGCUCGUGGCCACCCUCUUGGCGGCUCUCCUCGCCACAUGCCAUGCCGGUGGCAUCGCCGUCUACUGGGGCCAGAACGACGGCGAGGCGUCCCUAUCCGACACGUGUGCGUCAGGGAACUACAAGUUCGUCAUCCUCGCCUUCGUCUACAAGUUCGGCAAGGGCCAGACGCCGGAGCUGGACCUCGCUAGCCACUGCGACCCCUCAUCGGGCGGCUGCACGGGGCUGAGUGACGACAUACGUUCGUGCCAGAGCAGCGGCGUCAAGGUCCUGCUGUCGAUCGGCGGCGGUGACGGCAGCUACGGCCUGUCGUCCCAGGGAGACGCGCGGGACGUGGCCGCCUACCUCUGGAACAAUUACCUGGGCGGCUCGUCGUCGUCGCGCCCCCUCGGCGACGCCGUCCUUGACGGCAUUGACUUCGACAUCGAGCUCGGCGGCUCCAAGUACUGGGACAGCUUGGCCAGGUAAACUCUCGCAGCCUGCUUCUCGUCGUGUGUUGGUUAACUCGGCGUUUGCUCACCGCCUCUACACACCCGGCCGCACGCCGUGCAGGGACCUCAAGAACAUGGGCAAGAACAAGGUGGGCGGCAAGGGGGUGCUCCUGAGCGCGGCGCCGCAGUGCCCGUUCCCGGACGAGUGGGACAACGGCGCGAUCGACACGGGGCUGUUCGACUACGUGUGGGUGCAGUUCUACAACAACCCACCGUGCCAGGUGAGCGCUGGCCGCGGCGCGUUCCUGGCGGCGUGGAAGAGGUGGCAGUCGGUGCCGGCGGGGCAGAUCUUCCUAGGCCUGCCCGCCUCCAAGGACGCCGCCGGCACCGGGUUCGUGCCCGCCGACGAUCUCAACUCCAACGUGCUGCCGCUCAUCAGGGGAUCGUCCAAGUACGGCGGCGUCAUGCUCUGGUCCAAGUACUACGACGACCGCGCAGGCUACAGUGACGCCAUCAAGAGCCACGUGUGAUAAUUAGACAUAUGCAGGAUGAGCCUGUCUGUGCAUACACAUAUACUUGCUGUUAGCAGAUCUUUCAUCAUAUUUAUGCGAUUUAUUGUACUUUGUGUUGCUGGUAGUUCUUCGGAUUUUAUAGUUGGUCACAUGUACAAUGUAUCAGACAGCUGAUCGAAUAAAAAGGAGAGAUCUUUUGUAUGGGGAAAACACCGUUUUCUAGUUUCAGAAGAUAUAAUGACCGACCCCAGUGGCUAAUCUAGACUAGAUGAUUAUCGGGGUCUUUUCUAAAAAUAGAUGGGGUCACUAAAAACUUUUAGCAUUGUAUAUGCCCUAAUUUUCCAUUAGGCCUUGUUUAGUUCCGAAAAGAUUUCGGAUUUCGGUACUGUAGCACUUUCGUUUGUUUGUGACAAAUAUUAUUCAAUUAUAGACUAACUAGAAUCAAAAGAUUCAUCUCGUGAUUUCCAGCUAAACUGUGUAAUUAGUUUUUGCUUUCGUCUAUAUUUAAUGCUUCAUGCAUGUGACGUAAGAUUUGAUGUGACGGGGAAUCUUGAAAACUUUUUGCUUUUUGGGGUGAACUAAACAAGGCCUUAAAGUUGUCAAAAUCGGAUGACCCAAUGAGAAGUUGUAGGUCUGCCCCUGACCGACCCAAAAUUUCAAUGUUUGGGUAUAUUAUCCAUGUAAAAACCGAAUGAGCCUCUAAUUCAAUUAAGAAAGAAAUUAAAUUGAGCACUUGAGAUGUACCAGGCUUCCACCUUCUCCCUAAACAGCUCCAAGUAGACAAAACAGUAUGUCUUAGACGGCAAUCACCGUGACUGCAGGGGAACGAAGAAUGUUGCUGCACCUGACAUCAACCGAAAUAUAAUGUACUUUUCACGAAGCUGAAAGGAUCGGUAUAGAAAUGGAACAAGCCAAGGAGCACGGCUAGUUCGUUCGGCCGGCUGUCCACUCUUCCGUCCACGAGCGCCACCGUGAUAUAUAUGCCGGACCAGUUACUAUCUCUAGGCCCAUCCCGUGAGUCCGUGACGCUCACAUUGUUAAUGCUAUUGUGGUAUAACACUGGCAAACCGCUAUAAAAAGGUGACCGGACAUCAACCACACAUUCACACUUCACAAAUCACAAGCCAUUGCUAACCGAAGCUAGCUCAAAGCAAAUCCUUACUAGCACUAGCACACUGUCCUGGACGUACUAGGCUAGGCAUAGGCUUAAUUAGUCUCUAACUAGCUAGGUGGUUAACGUACCAUGGCAGGCCGACCUCUCACUCCCUUCCAACUCAUUGCCAUCCUCUUGCUGGCGCUUCUCGUUACGAGCCACGCCGGCGGAAUCGCCAUAUACUGGGGCCAGAACACGGGAGAAGCAACCCUGUCCGCGACGUGCGCGUCCCGCAAGUACCAGUUCGUCAUCCUCGCCUUCGUUUUCCAGUUCGGCCAGGGCCGGGCGCCGCAGCUGGACCUGUCCGGCCACUGCGACGCCUCGUCAGGCCGCUGCUCCGUCCUGAGCAAUGACAUCCGCUCGUGCCAGCGCCGUGGCGUCAAGGUCCUGCUCUCCAUCGGCGGCGGCGUUGGCAACUACGGCCUGUCGUCAGCCGCGGACGCGCGGCUGGUGGCCGCGUACCUCUGGAAUAGCUACCUCGGCGGCAAGUCGUCGUCACGUCCGCUCGGCGAUGCCGUCCUUGAUGGCAUCGACUUCGACAUCGAGCUCGGCAGCGCCAAGUUCUGGGACAAUCUCGCCAGGUUAUACACUUUCGUUGCAUGGUCGCUUCGGGUUCACAUAUAUGCUCAUGCUCUGAUCGGACACCACGCAACGCAGGGACCUCAAGGACAUGGGCAAGAGUGGCAACAAGGCGGUGCUGCUGAGCGCGGCGCCGCAGUGCCCGUUCCCGGACGAGUGGGACGACGGCGCGAUCAAGACGGGGCUGUUCGACUUCGUUUGGGUGCAGUUCUACAACAACCCGGAGUGCCAGUUCAGCUCGGGGCGCAAGGCCUUCCUGGACGCAUGGAAACAGUGGGAGUCGGUGCCGGCGGGGAAGCUCUACCUCGGACUGCCAGCCUCCAAGGACGCGGCAGGCACCGGGUUCGUGCCCGCGGCCCAGCUCACGUCGCAGGUGCUGCCGCUCAUCAAGGGCUCGCGCAAGUACGGCGGCGUCAUGCUCUGGUCCAAGUUCUACGACGACCGCACGGGAUACAGCUCCGCCAUCAAGAGCCACGUCUGAUAGACUGAUAGGAAAUUGCAAGCGUGCGUGUAAAGCGUCUGUGAGUGCGUGCGGACGCUGCAUGUGGAGUUGUGGUAGAUAGUUUUAUAUUUCAGCAUGUUCGUGUUCGAUCUUGUCUCGAUGUGAACCGUAGCUGGGAGACUGUUAUGCAGUAGUCUAGUAGAGCAAAAGAUCAGCUUUGCAAUUUUCAGUCGCCAUGACGCCAUCCUAGUAGGCCUUUUAUCAACAAAUAAAGUAAAGACCGCUCGUCACUUUUUCUGAUCUAUAGUUUGUGGCAAUACAACCUAUCCUCAAAUUGACAACAUAUAUAUAUUCCUUGGCUUGUUUUGUUUAGGGAUUUUCAUCAAAAUCCUAGUAUUCUAAUUCAAUGUUUCCUUGAAAAGAUUCAUUUCUUAUUUUGUGAGUGAAUAAUAAGUCGAUGUAAGUAUGAGCUUGUGAUAGUAAUAAUAAAAAAUACUACAUCAGUGUGUGCGGUGGAGCCUCUGCUAGUCUGCUAGAGUGGUAUCGGCACGUGAACCACCAUUUCCCAUUUUAUGUCGCCGCUGUGGCUGCGCCUAACAUCAAUAGAACUGUAUUUUUCAUCAAGUUGGAACUUCAAAUCAGAGUACUGCUAAAACUGAAAGGGGGCAAGGAGCAGGCCCAGUUGGUUCGGCCGGCUGUCUAUUCCUCUGUCCAGGGGGCACUACAAUCUUGAACCAUUCUCCUCGUGCUGGCCCAUCCCUUAAAGUUGGUUAAUCCUUUUGAUCGGCGACAGAUUUGGGUGGGAUUUUUUUGGCUUAUCAACCGAGUAGGACGAAGAUGCGUGACUUUCAUGACGUCGCCCUGCUCAUCAAACAGUUCAGAUGAGCUCGACCCCUUUGCUGUCUGAUUUGGCGCAGGACGGCAGGAAGAUGAUUAUUCUCGCUAUCCGAACAACCAUCCGAAUCACCUCCGUCACCGGCAGGCUGGCCGUGGUCCGUGGAAAUGGACAACGAUUCAGCAAACAGCGAGUAGCAGUGUAGCAACGAGGGCGACUUUGUUGUGAUUAGCAGCGCGUGCGGUUAAUGCGCAUGAUCGCGUCAACGGAAGAACGCACUGUCCAAAAUUCCAGCACCUUGCCCGCGCGCACUGAGCGUCUGUGAACUCUGAGCAGAGGCAAAGGCAAGCGUGCAAAUUUCGAAGAGUUGGGGAGAAAUGGUCGCCGCACUUGGACGGCCGAUGAGUGGAGGGCUGGCGGCCGCUGUUCCCUCGCAAAGGUCAGCGGUCAACCACUGCCGACGCACUAUCGUCGCCCCGUGCUAAGAUGCAAGCAACACUAUAAUAUUUGACAAUGCCCUGCUCUCGACGAUAAGUCCCAAAUCUCGACCACAAAUUGCGCCAACUCAAUCAUGCCAAGUCAACUCGCGGCGGCUACCUAACGAACGCUGAAUAAUUUCGUAGUUAGAACAGAACUGCGCUGCUGCUAGUUGCGCACCACAUUGCUCAACGCUCAACGGAUUGAUCGGCUAUAUAAAGACCAGGGAUCGACCUUGAAGCACAAUUCAUACUCACAAGUCCAUACCAAGAACUCGAGAAACAAGAUGGCUAGAAUAAGCAACAUCCCGUCGUCUCUGCCACUGCUAUUGGCCACGGCGUUUGCAUUGGCCGGGGUCACCGCCGGAGCGCGCACCGGCGGCAUCGCCAUCUACUGGGGCCAGAACGGCAACGAGGGGACGCUGGCGCAGACCUGCGCCACGGGCAACUACAAGUUCGUCAACGUGGCGUUCCUCCCCACGUUCGGCAAGGGCCAGACGCCGGUGCUGAACCUGGCCGGCCACUGCGACCCGGCGAGCAACGGGUGCACGGGCGUGGGCGCGGACAUCAUUGCGUGCCAGCGGAUGGGCAUCAAGGUCCUGCUCUCCAUCGGCGGCGGAGUCGGCAGCUACGGGCUCUCGUCCCGGGACGACGCGAGGACCGUCGCGGCGUACCUCUGGAACAACUACCUCGGCGGCCGGUCCAAGUCCAGGCCCCUCGGCGACGCCGUCCUCGACGGCAUCGACUUCGACAUCGAGAGCGGCGGGAGCAUGUACUGGGACGACCUGGCCAGGUUCCUCAAGUCCUACUCCCGGCACGGGCGGAAGGUGUACCUGGCCGCGGCGCCGCAGUGCCCGUUCCCGGACGCGUCGCUGGGCACGGCGCUCGGCACGGGGCUGUUCGACUACGUGUGGGUGCAGUUCUACAACAACCCGCCGUGCCAGUACAGCGCGAGCGCCGGCGUGGGCGGCCUGGCGAGCGCGUGGGCGCAGUGGACGCCCAUCAGGGCCGGCCGGGUGUUCCUCGGCCUCCCGGCCGCGCCACAGGCCGCGGGCAGCGGGUUCGUGCCGGCGAGCGACCUCGUGGCGCAGGUGCUGCCGGUGGUCAAGAACUCCACCAAGUACGGGGGAAUCAUGCUCUGGUCCAGGUACUACGACGGGCUCACGGGGUACAGCGACGCGGUCAAGUCCCAAGUGUGAGAGCAGGCAGGCCCUCGUGUCAUGUCGGGCGUGUCUGUAGGCAUUGUACUGACGUCGCUUAAAGAAGCGACCGGGGGGAAAAAAAUCAACUUGCAAAUAGUGCUUCUCUACUUGUCAUAAACCAAUUUUCACUUACUCUUUUCGGGUUAACACCCUUUUGAUGUUUCAAGCAAAAUUAAAAAUAAAGUAUAUUCAGAGAAGAGAUCGACCACACAUGGCUGCUCCCAGCUACGGCCCAAGCGUUGCACUGCACGUCUGCACCUCCGCGACACCUGUAGAACAUAUUCUGAUGCGAGCUUUCUACUCCCCUCCAGCACCUUCGCCCAUCACCGAUGGCAGUUUCCCAAGGCCAUGGCCCAAGCGUUGCUUCUGGUCCAGGCGCGCCGCUCAACAUCCAGCAUCGGCUUUUAAAUACCGUGCGUGCAGCAGUGCAGAGCUCGUGUAGUACUCAUCAGGUCGCGUUGGCACACUCUUGCGCUAGUUCGUCUGUUCAUCAGUAACACCUCGAGGAGCCAAAAACAGGUACGUGUUGAUCGAUCCUCCACACCCUUAUUCUGAUCCCUUCUCGUUGGUGUUCACUUUCCAAAAAAAAUUGUAAAACUUUUCAUAUUCCCUUCCUUGUGCCACUAUAUAUAGCAUUAAAUAUAGAUAAAAAAUAACUAAUUACACGGUUUGUAUGUAAUUUACAAGACGAAUCUUUUGAGUCUAAUUAUUUUAUUAUUGGAUAAUAUUCGUCAAAUACAAACGAAAGUGUUAUAGUAUCUAUUUUGCAAAAAAAUUUGGUACUAAACAAGACCAAUGUCCCUAUUUAAUUUUAUAAAAAGUUUAAGCCAAAAUAUUUUGGACAUAUUUACUUCCAAAAUGCAAAAUAGCAAAAUAUUUUACAUUUUGCCCAAAAUAUUUGGGAACUAAACAAGAAAUUCCGAUCUUGUUAUUUGCAGCCAACAAUCUCUAUUAUGGCGACAGCGGCAGCUGCAACUAUUAUGUACUGCGUUCCCGCCGCGAGCGCCAUCCGGUGCUGCCGGACUUUCUCCCCGCCGAUCAAGACCGAUGCCCCGCGCGUCGCUUCCCCCGCGCCGCGACCGGCGGCGAUCCUCGCGUGGGGCGCGGGCGCGGGCGCCGCACGGGUCGCGAGCAGGGGCCGGUUCAGGGCGUCGGCGGCCGUGCACAAGGUGAAGCUGGUCGGGCCCGACGGCUCGGAGAGCGAGCUGGAGGUGGCCGAGGACACCUACAUCCUCGACGCCGCGGAGGAGGCCGGGCUGGAGCUGCCCUUCUCGUGCCGCGCCGGGUCGUGCUCCUCGUGCGCGGGGAAGCUGGCGUCCGGCGAGGUGGACCAGUCGGACGGCUCGUUCCUGGACGACGCGCAGAUGGCAGAGGGGUACGUGCUCACCUGCGUCUCCUACCCCAGGGCGGACUGCGUCAUCUACACGCACAAGGAGGAGGAAGUACACUAGAGUGGAGCUACGGAGUAACGCAGCAUUUGUAGACAGUGGCUAUUCCAACCGUGGAUGUUCAGAGAGAUUAUGAAGUUCUACAGUUAAUCUGUGCGUUUCUUGAACGGUCUGUUUGUUUAACCCUCUCUACGUUGUCUAUCAUGUGGGAUUGGUAGCUCAGAGAUGGACGCCACAAAACAAAGUUCAGAAUUCCUUUUGUGUUUGUCUGAUUGAUACCCCCUGCAUAUAUUAGUAGAUAGAUGUGAUGCCCUGCAUAUAAUGGGCUUGGUUAAUUAAUGGUAAUAAGUAAGGGAUGGCGGCGGGGCGGUUUCGGGUCGGAUAUCCGCGGGUUUCGGUUUGGGGAUGAUGGGCUCCGAAACGUAUAUGGUUCGGUUUCAGGUUUGGUUUUCCACCCGUGGAUAUCCAAUGAUAUCCGAAAUAAGUGUUUAGAAUUAAUUUUCAUAUUUUAUAAUAUGGUAAUAAUAACUUGUUUACUUAGAUUAUGAAAUUUAUUUUAAGCUAACUCAUAAAAAUAUUUAUGUUUUGUUGCCUCUUGUUUAUACAUGUAAAUAUGUGUAUAUAUAUCAUGUAUAUAUUUACAUAAAGUCCUUAUUGCUAUUAUUAUGUUGACAUAGAAAGCGGAUUUCAGAUAUCCAUUCGGGUUUCGGUAUAUGUGGGUUUGGUUUUGGAGAGGGUCACCCGAAUCAAUUUUCGGUUUGGUUUCGGAUUUUAAUUUCGGGUUUCAGUUUCGGGCGCACAUAGACUUCACUAGAUCCGAACCCGCCCCGUUGCCAUCCUUAAUUAAGCAUGGUGGUGCAUGAACGUGCUGCGCGGGUACCGAACCAUAGGCGGAUCCACCACUAGGGCGAGCCAGGACGACCGUCCUAGGUUCUCUUACGGCUGAUCUGAAAUUCUAUGAAAAUUUUAGACAUUAGUACAAAAUAAAAAGAAGCUCCUAGAGUAUUCGACGGAGGUUAAAGACACCGACGUCUUGGACUAUCAUAUGUGGUUCAGCCAAUAUAGAAAACCACAACCCACAAAGCGCAAUAAGAAUACAAUCAACCUUUCUCACGUUUCUCGCUAUUCUCGACUUCUGACUUUCUGGUCGUCUCUCUCGCUAAUUCAUAAACUUGUGGAACCUAAGAACCUGCGCCGGGCUGCAGGUAUCUUCAUUUUUUAUGCCCUUUUCACAUAGUUAAUUAUUUAAAAUUUGAUUAAGGAUGAAUCAUUGAAUGAUUUGGUGAAGUCAAUUUAAAACUAUUUUAGUAUUAGUAUGUAUGGCUUCUCUUAAUUUAAGGAACAAACUUCUCUAAUUUUGAUGUGGAAAAUAUAUGCUGAAAACUUUAAUAUUAGUCACAUUAUUAUGUUGCCAAAACAACUUAUGAAAUUUGUUAGCUUAUAUUCCAUUGGUUUGCCAAAAUUUUAUAGUGUAAGUCUGUUCUAGGUCAUUUCUCGAGCUGGAUUCUCUACUGUACCGAACGAGCGGCCUGCUCAGCGGACUCCAGUGGAGAAGACGACUUGUGCGAAGACGAGCACCGUGGUCAGCUAGCACAAGGUAAUUAAGAACGUGAAGAAGACUUGUGCGAAGACGAGCACCGUGGUCAGCUAGCACAGGGUAAUUAAGAACGUGUAGCUAUAUAGCAAGGCAUUAGUGGUUGCCACGCGAAUUUUACAAAGCUGCCGCGGUCGGUCGUCUUCGUUUACUGCAGAGCGCGUGCAACACCCUAGCAGCUGCCGCCCCCUUGCUUGACACGGUGAAAAUAAUGGCGCUGAGAUAGAGUUUUAAUUAUCAGAUUGAAUUCAAAUGAGUUGAGCUGGACUGGAGAAUAUAUUUGGACAAGAAAUAAAAUAGAGCUCAACUGAGGAUUAGUCUCUGAAAUGAUUUUGAGAACAGUUUUUGAAUUCACAUGACUUUUUAUUUGAAUUUUUGGGAUGUUAUAGAGGGCAGCCAGGCAACGAAGGGAAGGGCCACAGCCGGGGAACGACCAGCGAGGAGGCGUCAUGACCGGCAGGGAUGAGGGGCUGGCAGGUCUGGCCUGCCGAUGCGACCAGCAUGAAGAGGGCCGACGGAUCUGGGCCUUGCCGGACUUGAGAAGGGGUCAGCGGUGGACGGUGGUGCAGAAGGGGCCGACGACAGUGGAGGCUAGGUCUGGUGGCGGGGAAGGCGUGCGGUGGUGGGGCAUGAAGCGAGCGCAGGUGUUCGCGUGUGGGAGAGAAAUCAUCGAACAGAUUUUUAGCUCCCUAUAGAAGUUUUAGCGCCCUAUAGAAGUAGACAGUGUGAGGGAGGAUUUAUUGGGCCAACAAAUUUAUAUAGUAGGUAGCAUGUUGAAGUGUAUUUUUUUUAGCUUCCACUAUCCGAAUGCAAGAUAUGUAGUAUGUUUAGUUAGUUAGAGUUGCUCUAAUGUUAGGCAGUGGCGGAGCUAGAGUAAAUCUGACAGGGUGCGUGUGCCUUUAUGUGUGCAGUAGUUUACAAUAUGUGGGUACAUAUGUGGUUAAAAUUUAGAUCUUAUCACUGUUUUUUAAAAAUUUUGUGGGUGCAGCCGCACCCACUGAGUACACUGUAGCUCCGCUCCUGAUGUUAGUCUAGCAUCCCCCGAAGACACACAGGUUGGAUCAAAGUGACUAGAAGGUGACUUAAAUUAGGGGUUAAUGUUUAGUCCUUCAGAUCCAAACAGACUCUUAGUGGAGACUAACUGUAAGUUUGUAACAAAGUUGAAAAUAAAUAUUCAUCUAUCAAUGCCAUAAAGCACAUCGGUUUUUGUUAUCUCAUAUACCCACCGUCAAACUUCACAUUGCGGAGCUCUACCUAACCCACAUGAGUUGGCCCUGUUUAAAUUGGAGAUAAAAAUUUUUUGGAUGUCACAUCGGAUGUGUCGAAAGAAUGUCGGGAGAGGUUUUUAGAAACUAAUAAAAAAAUAAAUUACAUAACUCGUCUGAAAACAGCAAGGCAAAUCUGUUAAGCAUAAUUAAUCUGUCAUUAGCACAUGUGGGUUACUGUAGCACUUAAGGCUAAUUAUGGACUGACUAGGCUUAAAAGAUUCGUCUCGUGAUUUUCAACCAAACUAUGUAAUUAGUUUAUUUUUUUAUCUAUAUUUAAUGUUUCAUGUGUGUGUCUAAAGAUUCGAUGGUAUGGAUGAAAAUUUUUUGAUGAGAAACUAAACAGGGCCAUCAGUGUUGUCUGGGUAUCCUGCCCGGUUCAUCAUUUUUAAGAAGUGUUGUGGUCCAAAGUACUUUGUUGUACUAUACUAAUAAAAAACGAUUUAUCAAAUUACGAACAAAUCAAAAAAAAACUAUUUAUUUAUUGUGAGAUAAAAAUAUUAUAGAAAUGACUAAUAAACCGUAUUAAUAAGCUUAAGCGAACAGGGCUAAUAGUUCGUUCAUAAUUCUUGGCAUAUUUUGGUAUCGUCACACGACCCACAAAACUAUCAAACAACCCAAAGCCCUCGCACCAGAUCCUUGUACAAUUGUCGUCUGCACAGAUUCCUGCUGUCUGAACAUGAUUGUACAGCAGUUUUUUUAGCAUUUCCUUGAUGUCUUGGUUGGUUGAGGGAGUUAAACUUUAACUCUAAUCAAAUCAAAUAUUUAGAUACAUACAUAGAGUACUAAUUAUAAAUUAUUUACGAAACUAAGCUAAAAAAUAAUUUAUGAAACGAAUCUUUUGAGUCUAAUUAGUUCGUAAUUAGACUCUAAUUGUUAAAUAAAAUAAAAAUAAUACAUACAAUUCAUAUUAAACAAAAACACUAAUUAGUCCAACCAAACACGCGCUGAGAAGUUCAAUUUAUUCCAUCCUACUACUGACCCAUCCUACUACUGACGGCAAGAACGUUCAGUGUCAACUGUCAACCGUGUCUUCUUGAUUUGGGUCGUGUUGACUUGGAAGUUGGAACCGACGCCACAUACACACGGCGAGAGCCAACACAGCAACACACCACCUGCUCGCUGCUCGGCAUGCACGAAGAAGCUGCGAUCAUGCCGGCGUCGCCCUGCUGCCUCGCUGUCCGCCGCCGCGCUCCCUUCUUCGCCGUGCUAGUGCUACUGCAACAGCUGGCUCGCUUCCCACCGGCGGCGGCCGUGGCGCGCACCAACCUGACCGCGGGAGCUGCCCUGACGCCGCCCGACUACCUCACAAGUCCGUCGGGCGGGUUCGCGUUCGGCUUCCGCGCCCUCGACGCCGACCCGACCAGGUUCAUCCUCGCCACGUGGUUCCGCUUGGGCGACGGCGACCCCUCGCCCCCGCCGCCGCAGUCCGUGGUGUGGUUCGCGAAGAAGUCGACGGGCGCCACGCCCAACGGCACGGCGCAGUCCGUCCUCAGCAUCACCGCUGAAGGCCAGCUCGUGCUCACCGACGGCGCCAGCAACCAAGUGCUGUGGAAAGCCCCGACGACUACCGGCAUCAUGCAGGCCGCCGGCACCGUCCUCACGCUGACCGAUUCCGGCAACGCCCGGUUCCUCGGCGACGGGGGCGCCGCGCUCUGGGAGAGCUUCUGGUACCCGACGGACACCCUCCUGCCGGGCCAGAUGAUGGUCCCGAGCUCCCAGUACGAUAUGACGUCGGCGAUGCUCUUCUCAAAGCGCGCGGACGCGGAGUUCGCCACCGGCCGGUUCAGCCUGGCGGCGCAGAGUGAUGGCAACGUCGUCCUCUGCAUCGACCUCUACACCGGCGACAUCCGGCAGAACGCCUACUGGGCCACGGGCACCAACGGCCCCGACCCCAACACAACCAUCACCUUCGACGACCAGGGCGGCCUCAACUACACGCUCAGCGACGGCUCCACCCACACCCUGAUUUCGCCGGCGUCGAGCUCCGCCGCCGGCAGCAGUCGCUGCCUCCAGUUCGUCAGGAUGGACCCCGACGGCGUCGUCCGUGCCUACGCCCGCCCUAAAAGCGGCGGCGCGAGCGCGUCCUGGGCCGUGACGGGCGUCCUCCCCGGCGACGGCGGCUGCAACAAGAGGACGUCGGGGAUGCAACACAUGUGCGGCACGGGGUCUUACUGCGUAGAGACCAAAGAACGGCUCAGCUGUCUCUGCCCGGCUGGGUACACUUACAUCGACCCGCAGCAUCAUGACAGCGGCUGCACGCCGGAGUUCGAGCCGCAGAUCUGCGGCGGGGGGGACUCUGGGGACAACGGCUCCGACCAGUUCUCGAUCGUGGAGCUGCCGAACACCACCUGGGACAUGGACAUGUACAAGAAGAUCCCGUCGGUAACGGAGGAGCAGUGCCGGGCGUACUGCCUUGGCGACUGCUUCUGCACGGCGGCGCUGAUGGUCGACGGAUCCGUCUGCGUGGAGUUGGGGGCGCUCUCGAACGGACUGCAAGCAAGCGCCGUCACAACGACGGCGCUGAUCAAGGUGCGGACGGGGAACACUCUGGCGGCGAGAACGUCAGCGAUAAGAAGGAGAGCUAUUCUGCGUCCCUACUACAUCGUCACCAUUUGCCUGGGCAUUGUCCUAGCGAUCACCAUCGUCGGCCUUGCGGCACAACAUUAUUACCUCACCAGGAAGAAGAAGAAGAACAGGAACAAAGAGAGCCAGCAGCAGCAGGUGUUGAGCUCGAGCGUGAGAGCGUUCAGCUGGAAGGAGCUCCACCAAGCCACAAAUGGCUUCGACAGGCUGCUGGGCAAAGGGAACUUCGGCGAGGUCUACAAGGGAACUCUGAGAUGGCCGCAGCCACAAGCCAUCGCGGUGAAGAAGCUCGUGGAGUCGAACGAGUACAGCGAGCAGGAGUUCACCAACGAGGUGCAGUCCGUGGGGCAGAUCCACCACCGGAACCUGGUCCGCAUGAUCGGCUACUGCAAGGAAGGCAAGCACCGGAUGCUCGUCUUCGAGUUCAUGCCAGGCGGCUCGCUCCGACGCUUCCUGUUCGACCCCGAAAAACGGCUGCCGUGGCGGUGGCGCGCCGAGGCGGCGCUCGCCAUCGCACGGGGGCUCGAGUACCUCCACGACGGCUGCAGCGCCCCGAUCAUCCACUGCGACAUCAAGCCCGACAACAUCCUGCUGGACGGGCAUGGCUUGCCAAGGAUCACCGACUUCGGCAUCUCCAAGCUGCUGGGGACGCAGCAGGUGCACACCACGGUCACCAAUAUCAGGGGCACCAGAGGGUACAUCGCGCCGGAGUGGCUCCGCAGCGAGGCGCGUGUCGACACCAAGGCAGACGUGUACAGCUUCGGCGUGGUCCUGCUGGAGAUGAUCAGUUGCCGGAGGUGCCAGGACCCGGUGGAGGGAGCGGAUUCCGACGAUGAGACGGUCACGCUGUUCGGGUGGGCGGCGCAGCUGGUGGGCGCGCGGAGGGUCGAGCUCAUGCUGGUGGAUGGCGACACUGCCGAUGAUGUGGAGGAAACGGAAAGGGUGGAGCGGUUCGCGCGCGUGGCACUUUGGUGUAUCGAGCCCAACCCGGCGCUACGGCCCACCAUGCACCUGGUGGUGCACAUGUUGGAGACCACUGAACGCGUGGCUCAGGUUGAGGCGCUACCAGCGGACCCUCCCAGCUGUUACAUGGAAUCCUCACCUUUAAUAGUAAUUCCUCAGCUCAAGAUUGAAUGAGAUGAGAUGUUAAAAACCCCAGCAGUUUUCUGACUAUGACACGGAGUGUAGAAUUGCUUGGAUCAGUUCCCUCUCUUACCUCUGUAUCCCAUCUUAGCAAACUCGUGUAUUUCCGUUUCUCUAUAAAUGAAAAUGGGGUUUGAUCUCGUUUCGGAAAAAAUAGGAUGAGAUGUUUGGGGUCCGAUCUGAUUGAGCUAGUGUACGGCAUACGAAGCAAAGCUCUAUUCUGCAGCACUACUUCCAGUAUCUUUCUCUGGUAACAAAUCAGCAUAAGCCAAAAUUCAUGAAACGAACAAGUUGACUGUAUGGGCCUUAUAAGUUGAAAAUCGAUGGGAGUGCAGAAAGGGUCCGGCCCAACAGACUUGGGCCAUUACUAUAAUGCAGAUUCUUUGCUGCUACUUUGUUCUAUAACUGCGUUUUGCCCAUAAAACUACCCAGUUGUGUUAUAGCAUCUCCAAAAAGAAAAUGGAGAGAAAAAAAUGGAAGAAAGACUUGUUGUGAUGUACACAAUCCAUUUCAAGUUGUAAGUCGUUUGACUUUUUUAAUAUCAAGUUUGACCACUCGUCUUAUUCAAAGUUUUGUACAAAAUAUCAUUUUUUUUUGUUGUGUAUUAGUUUAUUAAUAAAAGUUCUUCAAGAAUGACUUAAAUUUGACUAUAUUUUUAUAAUUUUUUUAAUAAAACGAGUGGUCAAACUUAGAGUAAAAAAAGUAAAACGGCCUACAAUUAUUUGGGAUGGAGGGAGGAUGGAGGGAGUACGUACUACGUUGCUUUUGGGAUUCAGUUUCAGACUACAUAGAAUCUAUGCAGCAGAAAGACUUUGCUCUAUUCAGUUUCAACCGUCUUUUGGUAGGCUAAAUUGGCUAUGCUGGCACGCUAUAUACAAGAUAACCUCUACUGUAUGAUAACGACAUGCACAUGAUUGAUGACUCCGAAAUCAGAACAUCUGCUUUUCCCUGUCCCGAUCGGUGAUCAGACCUGCUGUUCCCGAUAAGAGUCUGAUUGCUUUCAACGUUCAAACACCAUGGGAUGGGAGACAGCCGACUUCUCGCAUCAAAACGAGUCAACAAAACAACGCCAUGUGAGAACCUCGCCAACCACGCCGGCGAAAGCUCUGCCGUCUGAAUCCGCCAUGUGCAUGCAUCCUUCUGAAAUCUGAACUGGCUGCUGCGCAUCGCGGUGACCUUCCCUCACGCGCGGCGGCAGAACAGCGAUGGUUCGAUCAGGCCGUCAGAUUUUACCCGUCGCGCGAGGGGUCACAUGUUUUCCAAGUAGAUUUGCUUAAAUUGCUUUGACUGGCUGACGUGCGGACAUCCACCGCUUGGUCAGCCUCUAGUCGUGUUGCAGCGUGCGCCCAAGUCCCUUUCCGACGUGGCGACGAUAGACGUCCUCCUCACCGCAGACCGCACGUGUGUGGAUCUAGCCGAUACCAACGUUCACUUGCUUAGGCUUGUUUAGUUCACCCCGAAAUCUAAAAAGUUUUCAAAAUUUCAUGUAAUAUCGAAUCUUGCGGCACAUGCAUUAAACAUUAAAUAUAGACGAAAAUAAAAAUUAAUCACAGUUUGACUGUAAAUUGCGAGACGAAUCUUUUGACCCUAGUUAGUCUAUGAUUGGACAAUAUUUACCACAAACAAACGAAAAUGUUACAAUAGCGAAAUCCAAAAAAAUUUCACAUCUAAACAAGACUUUACUUUAUCUAGGGCGUAUACGGUAAAGUUUAACAGAUAUUAUAAUAUUUUUAUUUUAUUUAAUAAUUAAUGUCUAAUUAUAAACUAAUUAGGUUCAAAAUAUUUGUCUCAUAAAUUACAUAUAAAUCAUGUAAUUAAUUUUUUUAAAUCUGUAUUUAAUACUUUAUGUAUGUGUUCAAAAUAUUCGAUGUGAUAGAAGUUAACAUCUACUCAAUCCAUUCCAAAUUGUAAGUCGUUUGACUUUUUUUAAUAUCAAGUUUGACCACUCGUCUUAUUCAAAGUUUUGUACAAAAUAUCACUUUCUUUUGUUGUGUAUUGGUUUAUUAAUAAAAGUUCUUUAAGAAUGACUUAAAUUUGACUAUAUUUGCACAAAUUUUUUGAAUAAGACGAGUGGUCAAACUUGAGGUAAAAAAAAGUCAAACGACUUACAAUUUGAAAUGGAGGGAGUAUCUGUUGUAACCAAACGGGGCCUAAUUUGAUGCAUUGUUAAUAACUUUAAUGUAUCAUGAUAAUAUUUUCAAUCUUGUAUCUUAUCUUUGCUAGAAGUUAACAGUUAUCUACUUCACAGGUAUCCACAUCGGCUCAAGAAUACAACUACAACCACGAGCAAGCCCCCGACUAAACCUCGAACUGUACAUUUCGUAGCUUCACAAGUGGCCAUAGAAUGGUUACCUGACUCCCACAGCUAAGUUGGGAAAGGCACUACCAAGAGAAGGACCCUGUGUCACUCGAGGGAUUCUCAAAUGGACACACCUUGAGGGGACACAAAACAUAUUCGACGAGUUUCUUUAUGUCAGAAGGGUAAAAGUUUGCCGUACAAUAUAGUAAUCUAAACAUAACACAUAUACAUCACACGGUACCUCAGACGUGACACACACCCAAGACAUGGGCAUACCACUCGAACAUGGCAUAGGGCGUGAUAAGCCUCACAAGGUUGCACUACAAACCCCUCCAGUAUCUUUAAAAAAAGGUUGCACCCCUACACCACACUGAAACACAUGGACGAGUCUUACCUAUGACUGUGGAACAUUGUUUCCACAACCUGAUGACAAACUCAACACAGGCCAGAUGACGAACUCAACGCAUGGGGAGUGAACCCCACAACAUCUCCAUCUAGUACAAAUACAAUAGGACACAUCAAACGACAAUGCUGACAAUAGAGGAGCAUGCUCAAAUUAGCUGACGAGUACUAGGAACCAGACCCGUCUUAGAGGGGAGAGCAGACAGUGCGACGGCCGGGGGCCCAUGGCGCUAGGGGCCCAUAAAUAUACGCAUCUAUAGUACAUCUAUUUGGCCCAUAUUGUUUGCUCUGUUGAGUCUGCGCCGCUGCGGCCAUUCCGGCAUUCUCAAUUCCCGUAAGGCGUAAGCCGUAAUGCCGUGAUCGUUAUCCCAGCGGGCGGCCGCAAACGCAGUGGCGCUGCAGUCCCUCUCCGUCCCCUGAAGGCCUGACUCCCUGCCAUCCCUUCGGUAAGUGAUUUGAGUUCAUCAAUACUCAGUUAUAGGGCCUGGCGGUGUUUGUUUAAACUCAUCUGUCAACUCCAAUUUUCUAUUCGACCUUACAAUCCAAUCCGUACACACAUCAAGCGAUUCAAGCCAAUAGUUGAUCCAUUAAUUUAAUUAUUUAAUUCAUCAAGCCGCAUAGGAAUAGGUUGUAGGCUACAAAUAGUUUUUUUUCUAAAUUUACCAUGAUACACUAAUAGGGUUCUAAUUUUUAAAUUUUUAAUUCAAUUUUUUUUUUGAACUUGUUAGAUAUUGCCUAAAAAACAUUUGUCAGCAGGUUGAAGAUAAAUUCAUAGAAUCAGAAACGGGUGCUUACAUAUUUAAGUUCAUAGAAUCGUAAAAAGUUGUCGUAUUAAAACAUUAGAUUGCCAGACCGUUAGUAUUAUGUUUGCCCAAGGGCCCUAGAAAUUGUUGAGACGGCCCUGCUAGGAACCCCUCUAUUCUUGUGUUAUCCGCUUCCAUAGCAUUAUAAAGGGAGGCUAGGGUGGUAGGGUCUCUCUUUUCUCUCUGUGUGAAAACACAACGGUUUAACUCUUGGAUCCUCCGGUUUGUAGUCUCUAUCACGAACUUCGAGCACUUGAACUUAGGAACACGAAUGCCUCAUCCGAAAAUGGACGAAGGGCAUUUGUCUAAACCAAUAUAAAAGGCGAGUCCAUGAGUGCUAAGACAUCUGAACAAAUACGCCACAAACCGUAGAUAAAAAUGUUGAUAGUAUUGAUGUCAUAAUAAAAUAAAUAUUCGAGUCGGUUAGUUUUAUUGGUUGGACCAACAAAAUUAUAGUCGGAUUAAUCGUAGACACAUAAAGGCAUGCUACUUUUAUGUAGGUGUUUCUAUCUGUCAUUUUGUGUGUGUGUGUGUUGUGGUGGGGGGUAGAACUGAGAUUUGGACUUCCAUCAUGAUCAAAAAGUGGUAUAGCUUUUCCAGUGGUUGUCAACAUGACGCACCAUUCAUUGACAUCGUGGGGGUGGCAGAAGAAACAUCCGUGAACAACGAGGAAAGCAUGAUUAAGGUCUUGGUGAAAAAAUUUUAGGUAUUGUAAUACUUUUAUUUGUAUUUAGUAAUUAUUUACAGAUAAACUGUAUAAUUAAUUAUUAUUUUAUCUAUAUUUAAUGCUCUAGUGUCGUAAGAUUAGAUAUGAUGAAAAAUAUUGAAAAAAAAUUAGAUUUCAGGUGUAACUAAAUAAGGCCUAAGGUGUGAGCACUUUUGCAAUCUGAACUACUAUAGGCGGUCUAUAGCAUGCAUGACAGAGAUGUGAACAGACUGGGAAAUCAAAUGGAAUGAUCCAUAUCUUAUACUAAUCAAACGCAGGUUUAUCACGGAUUCACGGCAGGAGAACGAUUAUGUCUGGACGCGUAUGAAUGAUGCGCUGUGUGCUGUAACGUAGUAGCCAGCCACAACACGCACCUUCAAAAAUUUAUGUUAUCGUUGUGGUACGGUUGCGUAGUUACGUCUUUUGAUGCAGGUGGAGCUGGAAGUCUAAUGCAGUUUAUGAGCGUACGUUUGGACCCUUGUUUGGACAAGUCGGCAACGUUAGGUGAUGAUUGAUAUGAUUCGAGCGGGAAGGGAAGCAGAGUUAACACACCAUCCUGUGUGGUCCAUUUCCAUGCUACCAGACCAGACCUGCUGAAUUCGGUAGCCCUGCUAGUGGCAUCGUUUUGUUAUUGGUAAGACACACAGUGUCCCAGUUCUACUGGCUUCAAGAAUAUAUUCAGAACUAUACUUGCAUAUUGUAUGUUUUCAGUUCAAUCAUCUGUAGCGACAGCAACUACUCUGUACUGAGAGAGAGAGCAGCUCGAACUGAUCUCCUACGAGUACCAUGACACAUUGACACGCCAUGAUAGUACUUGUAUUACUCGUCGGUAUGGCUGGCACGUCCAGCUCCAUACGAUCUGUCCUCUUUGUUUACUUAUUAUUAAUUGGAAGAGAGAUCCGUUGGAGUUGAGAAGUGGGGACAUGAUUGCUGGAUACGAUGUAGCGGCGCGUUCUUGAGGUUCGUUACAAAGACGCGCUUCCGGUUAAAAUAAGCAAAGGGACGGCCGUUCACCACAGCCGGGUUUUCUUCAGAGUUCAGACUGCUCCAGAGAACAGCAGUCGUUCAUUCUCUGUCCCCAUGGAUAACUGGAAUUGGAAGAAGGUUUACUUCCUAGGAUUCCUCUUCUCGUGUCCCGCCAAGGCCCAGGGGAUAGGGAAACAGCACAACUCAAAUCAGUCACUUCAUCUCCUCGUCAGAUCAGACAAGGCUGUACGCUUGACUACAGCAUGCGGUGACGUGCGACUCCGAACUGAAGAACAGCCCACCGUGCACGAAAAAAAAAUAAUCUUAUCCAUGCCCUCAGGAAAUAGAAGGGAAAAACAUCUUCUUCUCCGGAUAAAGAAAAAUGAAUAUUAAUACAUAUCCCUUUUAUAGAAAAAAGAUAAAGAAAAAACAGAGCACCACUCCCUGGUUGCAGGCGUAGUCUUGCUUGCUGCGGCCUACUCAUCUAUCUAUGUGCUGCAUCUCCUACACUAACGUCUUUAUCCGUGGUGAAAACAUAGCACCAAUUCGUUUGGUCAUGCGACGACGACCUAUCUAUUCGUUGCAUCUCCUACACUAGUGUCCUUAUCUAUGGUGAAAACCUGGAUGCAGUAAACUUUCUUGAAGGCGUUGUGUUAGGAUAAGACUGUUGGUGUUUUAUGCGAUAGUGUGGUUGUCUCAAGGAUGACCUCUAGCCGCUGCCGGCGCUCGAUGUGGCGUCUUUCUCUCAUGGGCAACUUACUUCCUAGGAGGUACCAUUUCAAAUAAAUUUAAGCCAUUGGUAUUUUGGUUUUCUAGAAUUAAUUAAUUAGUUAAAAAAAAAGGAAAACCAUUCUCAAAUCCCUCCAAUCAUGCUAGACAUGGGUGGGCAUGGAGCUCCUUUCUUGUUCUUGCGCAUGGCUGCGCCUUUUCUUUUAUGUGAAUUGUCGUCAUGUCCCUUUUUCCCAUACAAAACUAAAUGACAACUAUCGCUAUAAUGUCAAGAUAUGUAUAAACCUAUUAUAUUAUAAGGUUAGAAUUGUACACCAAUAACAACAGGUACUAGAAAUAAAUUUUUAGUGGCUUUAUCAUGUAUAAAGUUUGAUGAUAAUUAUAUUAAAAUUAAAAACUGGUCGUUUUUAGCUAUCUUAAAGUUUCAUAUAUCUACCUAGUGUUUCAUAAUACGUUCAGCACGUAUGUCACAUUCCUAAGUAACAAGUGCAUCAAAAAAGUAAUUAGUCUAUUCUAAUCAAACUAUGUUAUAUCCAGAGUUGCUAAACUAAAAAGAUUCAUCAUAUCUAAUAGAUCAUGCAUGCAUCAAUUAAAUAUAAAAAGGAUCUUUACAUCUAAAACUUUACUUAUUUCAACUAUUACCUCCUACAAAGUAAUACAUGAUUCUAACUCUUCGAUUUAAUCAAAUGAACGGUUCACAUUCAUUUAAGAGUACCACAGUAAAACCUUCUUUCAUUUCUAUAGCCGCUAGUUGGGCAGAAGGUCCAAGUGUUCUUGACGCUGGAUGGAGGGGACAUCUCAUGUUAAAAGAGUUAUGGUGUUUUGUGAAGCUCUUCGUCGUUGAGCGUCUGAGUUGGAGCAAGACGCAUGUUGUCUUCAUUAGGCUAACUCCAACAGAGUUGGCAAACCAGGACGCAUACCCAAAAUGCAUCGUCUUACGGUGUUUUUAGACAAAAAAACGUCUCCAACAAAGGACGCAAAGGGAGUACUCAUUUUGCAUAGCCAACGAUGCUGAACGCAAAAAAGUGUCUCCUCUCUCCUGUAGACGCAUAUCUCUGGCCUCUCUAUCUCCUUCAACCGUUCGUGGACGAGGUCGGAGUGGAGGGAGAAGAGGAGUGGGUCGAGCUCGGCCGACCGCAGUGGGAGCGCGCGGAUGAAGAUGGCGUGGCGGGACCGCGACUCAGGCGGGGCUCUGGUGGGGCGGCUCGGGCGGCGUGCGACCGGCGGGGCACGACCAGGCUCUGGCCGAGCACGACUUCGGCGGGGCGCGGCUCCGGCGAGGCGCCACUUCGGCAGGGCACGGCUCCGGCGGGGGGCGCGGCUAAGCAGGCCCACAGACGGGGGCGCGACUCAGGCAAGACGUGGCUCCGGCAGGGCGGCUCCCUCCUGCGGAUGGAGUCGCCGGCGACCUCGGCUCGGUGCUCGGCGCUUCGACGGGGAGGAAGGCGGUGGGCGGUGGAGCGUCGUUGUGCUGUGUGUGCAGCUGGAUUUGGGGCUUGGUUCCAGGCUCUGUUGGAGAAGGACAAGAUUUAGGUGUGUACUUUUUACUGUGCGUAACCUAUAGAGCCGAAUGGGUCUCACGUUUAGGUUGUUUCUAUUGGAGACAGUCUUAGAUGAAUGUAGCCGUUUCAAGAUAUGUGAGGUGGAGAGUUGUUCCUAAGCAAAGUCAAAACUGGGUGAAAGCAAGGACGGAGAAGAAGUUUUGAAGCUUAAUCUUUCUAGUUUUUUUCUCCUUAUUAGUCCUUAAACACUUUCUACUCGGUAUUGAGAGUUUUCCUCAAACCGUCGUCGCCAAAUCUCACUCAGAGUCUCAGACUCGCACGAAGCUGCACAUGAAACAUAUUGUCGAGAGGCGCGACCAGCCUUGGACGCCGAACACGUACGCGGCGACUGUGACUAGUGGAAGCACGGAACGGUCAAUUGCGUUCAUCAAGCUCCAGCCGCCGGAAAAUCUCUCCGUUCCCCGGCCAUUCCGAGUGUGCAGCAGGCGGGCGAAAUCGCAGAUAGAAGCCACAACCAGAAGUGGUGGGCAGGCGCAGGAAGCGUAAAGGGAGCCUCGGCGACCGACGCGCGCACGUGCCGGUGAGAGGCGGUUGUGAGAUGUGACGCCGACGCGCCGGGCCGGCUGGCCGACCUGAGAUGAACAGAGAGGGAGAGAAAGAUAUUUUUUUUCCUCUUCCCCAUCCCUGCAUGUAAACGCAACGAUAUUUUACUGGAAAUUUGCCAACGGAGAUGGCGCCAUCGCUGGGAUGGAGGAGUAGCCGAAUAGGGUAUAAAACCGAGGGGGGCGUCACGGCCACGGGUCCCGAGGGGAGGAGGCUCUAUCCAACGUAACCACCACCAUCUCUGUAUCGGCGAGCAGCAGACACAGACAGAGGAGGAAGGAGGGGAGCCUGGGAGCAGCGAGGCGGAAAUGGGGCUCCGCGUCCGCGCCUCAUCGCUUCUGCUAUCCCUGGCUCUCGAGCUCGUGGUCGCGCUCGUCUCAGGUAAUUUUUCAGUCGCCGGCUUUGGUCGCUCCCUGCUUUGUUUGUAUUGUAUUGUAUCGCUGUGGCUCUUCUUGCUCGUGCUCUGCUUUUUUUUUUUUUUUUUGCCGCCAUUGCUGUUGCUGUGUGCUACAGUGUUCACGCCCGUCUGUCCUCGUGAGUUGUUACAUCUGUUCUUUCGGGUUCUGUUCUGGCACGAUGCUGCGUUCCAGUUCCAUUCUCCGUAUGACAAGCAUACGGAGUUCGUUUUCGUCGUCAACAGUAUUGGGAACGAUUAGAAUUUCAUGUGUGGGCAAAACUGGAACUGGAAGCAGCUGCGAAACAAGAACAUGGGAGGCCUGAGGAUGAGAUCCAGCUACCGGGCAAGGCGGACCAGAAUUGUCUUCGCAGAUACGAGGCCAUUCAUUCUUUUUUCGCGAUUAAUUGAGCUAGCUCGGUUGCUAAGUCAGCUCUGAGUCUCUGACGAGUGACGAGCAAGCACAGUUCCACUUCCUCCCAGCUGCAGCUGAUCCAUUGCACGAUUUCUUCCUGAAACCGCACACUCUCAGUAAUCCAUGUUCUCUAAAUCAUGAUAAUUGCACAGUACAGUUUUAUCCUUUUUUUUCUUUCUCACGUACACAAAAAAUUUGCGUAUCAUUGUAUUAACAUAGAAGAGUUUAACUACACGAACGACACACUUCUAUGGACAUCUCUAGUUGUUUAAAUUAAUUCUGGUCCAUACAACAGUUUUAUCUGAAAAUUCUGAUUUUACAUCUCUACUAGUUAUUUAAAUCUUAGCAUUUUGCCUCUCUCAUAGAUGAUUUCCAGCUCUGCCCCUACUAUGAUUGAUCAUUCCGUCUGCUUCCGUAUACAUUAUUGCUUGUAGGUCUGUAGUAGGUGCUCUCUUCUCUUGCCACCGAACAAUUUUUUUUUAUAUGGGGUUUAAUCACGAAAGCGACUUUGCACCUAAAGCAUUUUAUGGGUCUGUCUGAAAAGGAAAAUCAAUUCCGUUCAGGGAAAAUAAAUACUACAAAACAGCAUCAGCACUUUUAGUGCGCCAUUACCGAGUGCUAAUAAUUAAUGAGCGCCCCCGCGUGUGUUAAUCUGGCAGUGUCGGCGCAGCAAAAGUUCGGGAUCAACUACGGGCAGAUCGCGAACAACCUGCCGGAGCCGACGCAGGUGGCGAGUCUCCUCCAGUCGAUGAACGUGAACAAGGUGAAGCUCUACGACGCGGACCCGCGAGUGCUGACGGCGUUCGCCAACACCGGCGUCGAGUUCAUCAUCGCCGUGGGCAACGAGAACCUGCAGACCAUGGCGGCCAGCCCCGCCGCGGCGCGCCAGUGGGUGGCGACGAACGUGCAGCCGUACCUCCCGGCCACGCGCAUCACCUGCGUCACCGUCGGCAACGAGGUCUUCUCCAGCAACGACACGUCCAUGAUGGCCAGCCUCCUCCCCGCCAUGAAGGCCGUGUACGCCGCGCUGGGAGGUCUGGGCCUCGGCAGCCAGGUCACCGUGUCGUCGGCGCACUCCGUGAACGUGCUCGCCACCAGCUUCCCGCCGUCGUCGGGCGCGUUCCGGGAGGACCUCGCGGAGUACAUCAAGCCCAUCCUCGACUUCCACGGCCAGUCGGGGUCGCCGUUCCUCAUCAACGCGUACCCGUUCUUCGCCUACAAGGCGAGCCCCGGGAGCGUGUCGCUGCCGUACGUGCUGUUCGAGCCCAACCCGGGCGUGCGCGACCCCAACACGGGCCUCACCUACGACAACAUGCUCUACGCCCAGAUCGACGCCGUGUACGCCGCCAUGAAGGCCAUGGGGCACACGGACGUGGGCGUGAGGAUCUCGGAGACCGGGUGGCCGUCCAAGGGCGACGAGGACGAGACCGGCGCCACGGUGCAGAACGCGGCGGCGUACAAUGGCAACCUGAUGCAGAGGAUCGCCAUGAACCAGGGGACGCCGCUCAAGCCCAACGUGCCCGUCGACGUGUACGUGUUCGCGCUCUUCAACGAGGACAUGAAGCCAGGACCCGCGUCGGAGAGGAACUACGGGCUGUUCUACCCCAACGGCUCGCCGGUGUACGCGCUCAACUCCGCCGGCUCCGGCGGCGGUUCGAGUCCCGGCGGGUCGCUCAACCCGUACUACACGUCCAUGUUCUCCUCCUCGUCCAGAUCGGCGGUGAGCGCAACCUUUUUGACAGAGAGAGUGAUACUAUUACUGCUGCUGCAAGCGAUUGUAAUACUGCGACAAUCAUAUUCAUUGUACUGUUAGUCAGUGAUACCUUGUAAUCUUGUAUACGGAAAUAUGCAAUUUCAAUUCAACCAUAGGGUAGGCCUAGAUUCGGCAAUUUGGCAAGACAGUGUGGCUGCUCCAAAAGCUCUGAUCUUUUCUCUUAUUCCCCCUCAGCAAUGAUCUUGAAAAGGUGACCUUUUCUUCUCUAUGCACAAACCUAUCGAGAUGUGGAAACACCUAAAGGUGAGGUUGAUCGAUGGAAGGGCAUCGUCGAAAGCGCGGGCAUUCCUGAGCUUUUGACCCAACGGACGACGAACCAAACAUUUAGCCGCGUCUUUCUAAGCUGGCCGGAUACCAGUUAACCAGUAGUUAACCUUUGGCGGCGGCAGCCUGAAACUGAAACUGAAACUGAAACGGGGAAUGUCAAAACCCAGCAGCAAGAGCAAACACAAUCAUCUCGCAAUAUGGUUUCUGGUAGUGACAACGAAGAUGAAGAUUUGCUUAUCUUUUGUGUUUGUUUGUCCUGGUGGCUUGCAAUCGCUUGCAGAUAACGUAUCGGAUGGGGGGUGGUUGUCCUGCUCGCCGCAUUAUUCCUCUGAUGAGGCUUCCUCCACACGUACCGCCCAGAGAGAAAGCCUCGCAAAUCAUUGGCAGCUUCCCUUCCCACUGACGCAAUCCGGUCCGAGUUGUCGUCGCCACUCAUCAGUGCCGGCCGGGGCCGGUGCGCGCGGUGCAUUGCCGGUCCAGCGGUCCUCACUGACAGCGAGAUAACGUCGAUCGGACUCGGACACAGUGACACUGAAAUCAUCUCAAUUUCCUUUUCCAUCUCCUGUUGCUGAUGCAGUUUAUAAUAGUCUAAAAAGAAGGCUUAAGAAAAAAAUAACAAAUCCCACAUGACGAUGAGAAAUUAAAUUUCCAACCCCAACAGUUCAAAAACAAACUGAUUCCUACGAAAUCCAUGUAGGAUUCCUACAAAAUUCUAACGUUCCAAAGGGCCCUAAGCGUGGCUCUCGGCUGAGCUCGUGUGGUUAGGUAACAGGUCCUGUCGUGCAAGCCGCGACACUUUGGCAAAUAGUUUCUGGUGAGCCAUGUGAUAUGAUGCAUGCGGCAGACGAGUGGCGCCCCCGUUCGUUGAGGCCCGUUCUACAGGGCAGUUCAGCUGUUGCAGGCUUGCAGUUGCAGCUGGUCCCCUGCCGUUCGUCGGUGAGGGCGCCGCGGCCCGAAGGGACGAGCAGAUCACCGAGAGCCGUCGAAACAUUUUUCGCGUCAUCCGCAGAGGACCCAUCGCGAUUCUCGCAUGCGGACGUUUCAGAUAGGGCUCAGUCUCGUCGCUAUCCGCACACAGGACGUUCGGUCAGCACGCUGCAGGCUGCUGCUGCUGCUAGCUAGCUGUUGACCACUCGUCGUUGCCUUGCCGCUGUGUUGUUUGGCAGCUUGAAUGGCCUGCCGUAGGAGUGCGGCGAUGACUGGAGUAGAGGAUGAAUGUCCUCUUGGCUCUUGAGAGCUCAAACCUAACGUAACAACUCAUCGAAACCGGAUGUUUCGUCGCGUUGAGGGGCGUGGCGCUGUUUGCACGAAAGAGGACGCACGAGUGGAUCGACGAAUAUCUCUGCGCCUUUUGUCUGGUACACCCUUAUUGGAAAGUUUUAUUCCCCAUGUAGCAUUGUGUGUGAUUGAGAUUUCAAGGGUAAGGGAUGGGGCUUUAUUCCCUUGGAUCACAAUGCUGGACCUACUAGCCUAACACUCUGUAUUCCUGUUCCAAUGUCCAUGUACUCAUGUAGCGGAACUAAGUUUAUAUAUAGUACGAAUCUAUUUGCCUAUUCGGUCACUCGUCAUCUAGAUGCAUGGUUCACAAGAUCUUAUGAAUUUAACCACACAGUGCUUAUGAAUCCUUGCUUAUGUUGUGCGUGUCCAAAGAACAGGCUCUUGCUCAUUGCGCUUUUCUUCUGUGAUGCAGGAUAAACAGUUUGGUGUUCUGUUAUGUGCCUGCAGUACCAUGGAGGAAGAGAGACGAGUAAUAGCUAGCCUGCUCAUGUAGGAGUACUUGAUUUUGCUAACGAUCAGCUAGUUGAGUCACUUUGAGGCCUGAAAGAACGAGAUGAGCUGUGAGAAGUGGCUGCCAUUGGUGGUUUAGAAGUGUCAAUCACACGGGCACUAUUGUAUUUAUUCAUUUGUAUUCUUUAUGUUGGUGUUAUUGUUUCUUUGUCUAAGUGUCUCUGCUUUUUGUCCAACUUUCUCCAUC